RNAcentral lists this ribosomal RNA (591 nucleotides) under uncultured bacterium. RNAcentral's name for it is "bacterial SSU rRNA". It matches the Rfam family "Bacterial small subunit ribosomal RNA", at positions 338 to 949 of the family's 1533-position model. The record is from RNAcentral.
CCUACGGGAGGCAGCAGUGGGGAAUAUUGGACAAUGGGCGAAAGCCUGAUCCAGCAAUGCCGCGUGAGUGAUGAAGGCCUUAGGGUUGUAAAGCUCUUUUACCAGGGAUGAUAAUGACAGUACCUGGAGAAUAAGCUCCGGCUAACUCCGUGCCAGCAGCCGCGGUAAUACGGAGGGAGCUAGCGUUGUUCGGAAUUACUGGGCGUAAAGCGUACGUAGGCGGUUAUUCAAGUCAGAGGUGAAAGCCUGGAGCUCAACUCCAGAACUGCCUUUGAAACUAGAUAGCUAGAAUCUUGGAGAGGUGAGUGGAAUUCCGAGUGUAGAGGUGAAAUUCGUAGAUAUUCGGAAGAACACCAGUGGCGAAGGCGACUCACUGGACAAGUAUUGACGCUGAGGUACGAAAGCGUGGGGAGCAAACAGGAUUAGAUACCCUGGUAGUCCACGCCGUAAACGAUGAUAACUAGCUGUUCGGGCUCUACGAGCUUGAGUGGCGCAGCUAACGCAUUAAGUUAUCCGCCUGGGGAGUACGGUCGCAAGAUUAAAACUUAAAUGAAUUGACGGCNGAGACGNGCGAGACGACACGAGGGAGAG